This is a long non-coding RNA of Camelus dromedarius (Arabian camel), 2795 nucleotides long. RefSeq lists it as uncharacterized. The record is from RefSeq and is a predicted model, not a curated record. The transcript is spliced from 2 exons. Lineage: Eukaryota; Metazoa; Chordata; Mammalia; Artiodactyla; Camelidae.
GGAGGGAGGUAAUUAGGUUUAUUUAUUUAUUUGUUUUUUAAUUUUUUUUUUUAAUGAAGGUACUGGGGGUUGAAUUCAGGAGGACCUCGUGUGUGCUUAGCACACACUCUACCACUGAGCUCUACCCUCCCCACCGUGUGUAUUCUGGAACUGUGUGUCCCUUCUCCCCGAACAGCAGCCAGCAUGCCAGUCUGCAGCCACAUUGCUAACCCUGGUUUGCGUCGUGUCUGCUCCUUUGUGGCUGCUGAGGGGAUUAGUUUUUAUCGGAUGGUUCUCCCAUUUUGAAGCUAAUCUUUUGGACUGACUAAGGAUCCCCCUUUCCUCACCCUCACUCCCAUCAGAUGGUCUAAAGCAAUGAACCAGCGCUUCACCGAGCAUUCCCAAAGGCAGCUCUGAAGGAGGGAAGGCAGAAUGCUGCCAGGACAAGAAGUCUGCUUCUCUACUCCACACGCCUCCUGAAUCCACAUCCUCUUCCAAUUGGGCUGAAGGCAUUUGCUGCUUUUCUUGAAGCCCAGUGGUUCCAACAAACUCCUGGAUAAGAAUAUGAAGGAGGAACCGACUUUUGGAGUAGGAUGGAGACUAAAUUUAGAUUGAGAAUCUAUACUGGGGAAUAAACGCAUCAGUGCACUGUAGCAUGCUGAGAUACUAGUCCCUAUUAACCAUCAAAAGUGUUUUUCACAGGCAAAGGCGGACGCUGGAUCCGAACAUCAGGGCCUGAAGAGGGAGCCCGUUCUGAUGGUCGGAGGAGUUUUUGCUGUAGCCAGUACACGCUUCCCUUUGGCAAGCAGUUAGCAUCACCGGGUGACUGAGCGUCUGUAGGAUCCGUGGGGCCAGCUCUUCUCAAAGUCCCAGGGAGACAAGUCAGCGGGCCCGAAGGAGCUGGGGAAGGCACUCUAACCCUAGGCAACGCACAGAAAGCUGGGGGACCAUCAGACGGCUCGGGCUUUGAACGGAGUAUCACCCACUGGACUAAACGCAAAGGGCGCCGACCUUGAGGGCUCUGCCACGCUCAUUUCCUGACGCUAAGAAGUUACAAAAUUAAAAAAAAAAAAAACAACACGAAAAUAGACUGGGGACUAACGGGCCUCUGAACAGCUUUAAAAAUAGGAAAACCUGAGUAUAAAUCAGGAGACGGUUGCUCACGAGGGGCGGGUGCCCUCGGCACCUUUCUGAUCCUUGUCUCACGGUUAAUAAUAUAUUAAUUGAUCCAUGUGUUUGUGUUCCGUUUAUCGUGUAUGUUCUGUGCCAGGCAGGAUGCUGGGCCCUGGAGAUAAAAGGUGACCAAGACAAUGACCCUGCCUUGGGAAGCUGAGAGCCCAUGAGGAGUAACAGACGUGAAGAAGGAGUACGAUCAGUGCUAGAAAAAGGUAUGUACACAUUACAGCAGCAACCUAACACCCUUCCAUUUUUUUCUAUGUGUCUUUUAAUGGCAAUUCCUCUAGCCAAGAUGUUGGACCAGCUGACUGAACCAUUAAAAGGAUAACGUGAGGGAGACACACCAUAAACUGCAGACUCAAAUACUACUGUUUUUAGUGUUGAAGAAACCACCGCUUCAAGCAUGACAGCAGGUGCCCUAGUCCGGAGCCUCAGGACAGAGUAUCUACUCCUGCCAACGGAAACAGCACAGUACGGAGGAAGGGGCCCCGGAGAAUGAGGCUGGAGGGCUGGCUUCUAGCCGGUGCCGCUACAGACAGACCGCAGCGGGGCUGCAGGUUACAUUCCGGACCACCUCAGCAGAGCGAUUAUCUCCAUCAAAAGUGCAGAUUAUUGCCUGUGAACUGAAGGAGGGAAGAGAUAUCCUUAAACCCAACCUGGUAAAGUUCUCCAUCGGACUCAGCUGUGGGAGGAUGUUGAAAUGCAGGAGACAGAGGAGGCCGGACCAACCAAAAUCGUCUAGCUCUCUAUGCGGGAUGACAUCCAAGUUACAGAACUUGGCACCCCAACCAACUCAACUUUCGACUUCCAGUCACUUCACAAGCAUCCAAAAGCUGAGAUCUGUUCCUGGAAUAGAAACCUUCUCUGUUUUUCCUAAAAUGUUCUUGCAAACAGUUUCAAGGUUGUGCAGUGUUUUGCUAAUAUUUUAGGGAACAAUGGAAAAACUUGCACACCAGAGGGAGAAAUAAUGCAACCAGGAGAGCAGGGUUGCCUGGGGUAACCUGUCCUGAGUCAGGCAGGCACGCUAUCAGAUUCCUCCGCGGGGAGGCGGCCUGGCAGAUACUUCUGAUACCCCCUCCCCUCCCAGUUUCAUGAAGGGUAGACCAGCAGAAAGGGCUGGGUCGGGGUGACGGACGGGGCGGCUGAGGACGCAAGGCCACGGCUUGGUGUCAGAGGAGUCAGACGAUGGGCUGUUUGUCUGUGUCGCCCUUGAGACCAUCUAUUCAGGUGUUGGAUCAAUGGACCAAGUCACAGGUUUAAAAUGUGUGUAGGGCUUGAUCUUAGGGACCAAUACUGGGGCUCAUCUAGCUAAGUGGUUCUUGUGAAAAUGAUCAGAAGGAUGGCGGUCCCUGUGUUCCUGUCGUCAGCAUAACACAGCCCUCCUUGUUGCCCUGUGUCCUCGUCCUCAGCCGUUUAUGAAGGCAACCGCACACACCCCGGCAUUCUCGUACCAGACUUCUGUGUAUCCUAUAAAUGGAGGAUUUCCACAGGGCUUAGGGCACGUGUAGCCACCACAGCAAACAAGGAACUGAAUUGAAAAGACCCCUAUUUCUUUUUACCCUCUUCUCAGCUCCAUCUUUAGAACCCAAAGCUCACAGUGUGCAAUGUCGGGUUGUUAAUAAAGAUAUUAUUUUUUGUUA